This 281-nucleotide unclassified non-coding RNA is filed under the name fungal sp. RNAcentral's name for it is "partial internal transcribed spacer region". The stretch from base 1 to 46 matches the Rfam family "Eukaryotic small subunit ribosomal RNA", at positions 1786 to 1831 of the family's 1831-position model. Lineage: Eukaryota; Fungi. The record is from RNAcentral.
AAGUCGUAACAAGGUAACCGUAGGUGAACCUGCGGUUGGAUCAUUAGUGGUUUUUACGUAGCGCUGUUGUAGUGUUUCUGUGUGGUGUUUGUGUGUGGUCUUUGCGUUUGUUGUUGGUUGUUUGUUUGUCUGUUUUUGUGCCUUGUGCGGUGCCUGGCAGUACAAACGAUCGACGGCAACACUCGGACCAGACCCAAGACCUUUACAGACAAUAGACGUCUUUGCUUGCUUUGAUGAAACCAAAUCAAAAACAACUUUUGACAACGGAUCUCUUGGCUCUC